This 253-nucleotide ribosomal RNA is filed under the name uncultured bacterium. RNAcentral describes it as "partial 16S ribosomal RNA". It matches the Rfam family "Bacterial small subunit ribosomal RNA", at positions 524 to 776 of the family's 1533-position model. The record is from RNAcentral.
UACGAAGGGGGCUAGCGUUGCUCGGAAUCACUGGGCGUAAAGCGCACGUAGGCGGCUUUUUAAGUCAGGGGUGAAAUCCUGGAGCUCAACUCCAGAACUGCCUUUGAUACUGAGAGGCUUGAGUCCGGGAGAGGUGAGUGGAACUGCGAGUGUAGAGGUGAAAUUCGUAGAUAUUCGGAAGAACACCAGUGGCGAAGGCGGCUCACUGGUCCGGUACUGACGCUGAUGUGCGAAAGCGUGGGGAGCAAACAGG